CCUUCCCGAACUCAGAAGUGAAACCUCUUUGCGCUGAUGGUAGUGUGGGAUUACCCAUGUGAGAGUAAGUCAUCGCCAGCA
RNAcentral lists this ribosomal RNA (81 nucleotides) under Acinetobacter apis. The record is from RNAcentral. Lineage: Bacteria; Pseudomonadati; Pseudomonadota; Gammaproteobacteria; Moraxellales; Moraxellaceae.